Long non-coding RNA from Ictidomys tridecemlineatus (thirteen-lined ground squirrel), 748 nucleotides. RefSeq lists it as uncharacterized. The record is from RefSeq and is a predicted model, not a curated record. Lineage: Eukaryota; Metazoa; Chordata; Mammalia; Rodentia; Sciuridae.
CCCGGCCGCGCGACCGCGCCUUUGUCUGCGCCGCUCCCGCCCGCGCCGCUCUGGCUACGUCCCUGCGGCUGUCCUCGGGCCCUCUCGGCCCUUCUCUGGCCCGGGCCCUCUCUGUCUCUCUCUCUGGCCCUGCCUCUCCCAGUCCCUAGCUCCUCGUCCCUUUCUCGGUCCUCAUCUAUUUAUCCCUGUCCUCUGUUCAUCGCGUUGCCCCGUCCCCUCACUUUCUCUGCCUCUGCCCCCUCUUUGUGUCUGUCUCUGUUUCUCUUUCUGCCUGUGUCUGUCUUGGCUUCCUGUCCAUGUCUCCGACUACCUUUGUUCAAAAGACUGCAACUGUGACCUGGCUGGGGCAGACUCGCCUUGCACAGGAGCGCGGUGGGUUCCUGAGAAUCUUUGGUGUGUUGAACACCGCCCACCCACAAAUACCAACAGCCCCGAGCAACCAACCAGAUGUCCAGGCGUGUGUCCCUUCCUGAACCUUGUGAGUCCGUGCUGGACUAUGGUCUGAGACCUUCCUGCCAGUUCACAGUGGAUCUGAAUGAUCUGAGAUGACUUCAGUCGGAUGGGGUCUCUGGUGCCUGAUCCUGUCACCCCCCGGAUAAUCUCAUUAGCAACAGCAUGCGUAAGGACAUCUGUUGUUUCUCUCUGCUCAGCUCAUCUGAGCACCUUGCUUUUGUGGUCGGAUCUGUGUCUAAAGCUCCCCAGUUUGAUAUGAAUCUACAUGUACUAACAAAGAACAUGGCCACAAGAA